Molecule: long non-coding RNA, 610 nt
Organism: Eublepharis macularius
Lineage: Eukaryota; Metazoa; Chordata; Lepidosauria; Squamata; Eublepharidae
Exons: 2
Source: RefSeq, a predicted model, not a curated record
CCCCUGUCCCGUCCCGGGCUCGUGUCGUACCGGGCCGGCCUCUCGCGGGCCUCUGCUGCGACCGGGGCCGAGGGCGGCGCCCUCUCCCGCCGUGGCGAAGGCAGGAGCGGGAGCCGCGCGCUCGACACGACCCAAGCGCGGGCAAACCGGGCUCGGAAGCGCCCCGAAUUCAGACGCGCUUCGGUCGCAAGCGCUCCCUGCCGCCAAGGGGCUCCCCUGGAGCUUAAAGGGCACUGGGGAGCCCCGGCUUACCUUGCAAUCUCCCCCUUACUCCAAGAAGCUGAAGCCAUCCGUUUUCCCCUGCUUUCAUUUUAGCCUCACAACGGCCCUGAGAGGUGCCAAGGUUCCCAGGCAGCUAUCUAACAGAAGAGGAUUGUUUUGGCUACCGAUGUUCCACCGAGAAUCAGCCUUGGGAAACUACUGCUCUCCCUACUUCAAAGGCGUUGUUUUGGGAACCGUGGGGGGGAGGAGGGGCCCGCUGGGAUCUGUUACUCUGUACCUUAUGCCUUGCCUAUCAUUGGUAACAAUGCAUAUGCACCAUCCUGAAUAUUGCAUUCAGGCUAGUGGACUAUAAUGAACUAUUUCUUCAAUAAAUUCCUUUUGGAAACAA